This 75-nucleotide non-coding RNA is filed under the name uncultured Desulfatiglans sp. RNAcentral describes it as "c-di-GMP-I". It matches the Rfam family "c-di-GMP-I riboswitch aptamer". Rfam says of the family: GEMM was predicted in a large-scale screen for bacterial structured RNA regulatory elements. Lineage: Bacteria; Pseudomonadati; Thermodesulfobacteriota; Desulfobacteria; Desulfatiglandales; Desulfatiglandaceae. The record is from RNAcentral.
CGCAGAAAAAGCCAACCCCCUUUCAACAUGGGGACGGAAAGCUACGGAUCUCUAUGAGACAGCCGAGUUGCCUGC